CCUACGGGUGGCAGCAGUGAGGAAUAUUGGUCAAUGGACGAGAGUCUGAACCAGCCAAGUAGCGUGAAGGAUGACUGCCCUAUGGGUUGUAAACUUCUUUUAUAAAGGAAUAAAACGAGGCACGUGUGCCUUUUUGCAUGUACUUUAUGAAUAAGGAUCGGCUAACUCCGUGCCAGCAGCCGCGGUAAUACGGAGGAUCCGAGCGUUAUCCGGAGUUAUUGGGUUUAAAGGGAGCGUAGAUGGGUUGUUAAGUCAGUUGUGAAAGUUUGCGGCUCAACCGUAAAAUUGCAAUUGAUACUGGCAGUCUAGAGUACAGUUGAGGUAGGCGGAAUUCGUGGUGUAGCGGUGAAAUGCUUAGAUAUCACGAAGAACCCCGAUUGCGAAGGCAGCUUACUAAACUGUGACUGACAUUGAUGCUCGAAAGUGUGGGUAUCAAACAGGAUUAGAUACUCUAGUAGUC
RNAcentral lists this ribosomal RNA (460 nucleotides) under uncultured bacterium. RNAcentral's name for it is "partial 16S ribosomal RNA". It matches the Rfam family "Bacterial small subunit ribosomal RNA", at positions 338 to 795 of the family's 1533-position model. The record is from RNAcentral.